GACGAACGCUGGCGGCGUGCUUAACACAUGCAAGUCGAACGGAAAGGCCCUGCUUUUGUGGGGUGCUCGAGUGGCGAACGGGUGAGUAACACGUGAGUAACCUGCCCUUGACUUUGGGAUAACUUCAGGAAACUGGGGCUAAUACCGGAUAGGAGCUCCUGCUGCAUGGUGGGGGCUGGAAAGUUUCGUCGGUUGGGGAUGGACUCGCGGCUUAUCAGCUUGUUUGUGGGGUAGUGGCUUACCAAGGCUUUGACGGGUAGCCGGCCUGAGAGGGUGACCGGCCACAUUGGGACUGAGAUACGGCCCAGACUCCUACGGGAGGCAGCGGUGGGGAAUAUUGCACAACGGGCGGAAGCCUGAUGCAGCAACGCCGCGUGCGGGAUGACGGCCUUCGGGUUGUAAACCGCUUUCGCCUGUGACGAAGCGUGAGUGACGGUAAUGGGUAAAGAAGCACCGGCUAACUACGUG
Molecule: ribosomal RNA, 468 nt
Filed under: uncultured bacterium
Lineage: Bacteria
Description: partial 16S ribosomal RNA
Rfam family: Bacterial small subunit ribosomal RNA
Source: RNAcentral